CCUACGGGUGGCAGCAGUAGGGAAUUUUCGUCAAUGGGCGCAAGCCUGAACGAGCAAUGCCGCGUGAACGAGGAAGGUCUUCGGAUCGUAAAGUUCUGUUGAAGGGGAAAAAGAGCGGAGAGAGGAAAUGCUUUCUGUUUGAUAUUACCCUUCGAGGAAGUCACGGCUAACUACGUGCCAGCAGCCGCGGUAAUCCGUAGGUGGCGAGCGUUAUCCGGAAUGAUUGGGCGUAAAGGGUGCGUAGGCGGCCUGCUAAGUCUGGAGUGAAAGGUACCGGCUCAACCGGUACAGGCUCUGGAAACUGGCGGGCUAGAGAGCAGGAGAGGGCGGUGGAACUCCAUGUGUAGCGGUAAAAUGCGUAGAUAUAUGGAAGAACAUCAGUGGCGAAGGCGGCCGCCUGGCCUGUUAACUGACGCUGAGGCACGAAAGCGUGGGGAGCAAAUAGGAUUAGAUACCCGAGUAGUC
This 465-nucleotide ribosomal RNA is filed under the name uncultured bacterium. RNAcentral's name for it is "partial 16S ribosomal RNA". It matches the Rfam family "Bacterial small subunit ribosomal RNA", at positions 338 to 795 of the family's 1533-position model. The record is from RNAcentral.